This 198-nucleotide ribosomal RNA is filed under the name uncultured bacterium. Its description in RNAcentral is "partial 16S ribosomal RNA". It matches the Rfam family "Bacterial small subunit ribosomal RNA", at positions 328 to 539 of the family's 1533-position model. The record is from RNAcentral.
ACGCUCGACACCUACGAGGAGGCAGCGAGUGGGGAAUAUUGCACGAAUGGGGGAAACCCUGAUGCAGCGACGCCGCGUGAAGGAAGUAAGUAUUUCGGUAUGUAAACUUCUAUCAGCAGGAGAACUGACGGUACCUGACUAAGAAGCACCGGCUAAAUACGUGCCAGCAGCCGCGGUAAUCUGAGCGGCUGGCAAGGC